UUGAAUCCGCGAGGACCAUCUCGCAAGGCUAAAUACUAACCAGUGACCGAUAGUGAACCAGUACCGUGAGGGAAAGGUGAAAAGAACCCCGGGAGGGGAGUGAAAUAGAACCUGAAACCGUGUGCCUACAAGUAGUCAGAGCCCGUUAACGGGUAAUGGCGUGCCUUUUGUAGAAUGAACCGGCGAGUUGCGUUAGUCAGCAAGGUUAAGUCAGAAAAGACGGAGCCGUAGCGAAAGCGAGUCUGAAGAGGGCGAGCAGUUGGCUGACGCAGACCCGAAACCAAGUGACCUACCCAUGACCAGGUUGAAGGCGCGGUAAAACGCGCUGGAGGACCGAACCCACGUAAGUUGAAAAUUGCGGGGAUGAGUUGUGGGUAGCGGUGAAAUUCCAAACGAACUUGGAGAUAGCUGGUUCUCUCCGAAAUAGCUUUAGGGCUAGCCUCGCAAAGAGGAUGCUGGAGGUAGAGCUCUGUUUGGACUAGGGGCCCGUCAAGGGUUACUGAAUUCAGAUAAACUGCGAAUUCCAGACAUUUAUGUGCGGGAGUCAGACUGCGAGUGAUAAGAUCCGUAGUCGAAAGGGAAACAGCCCAGAUCACCAGUUAAGGUCCCAAAAUUCAUGCUAAGUGGAAAAGGAUGUGGAGUUGCGCAGACAACUAGGACGUUGGCUCAGAAGCAGCCAUCAUUCAAAGAGUGCGUAAUAGCUCACUAGUCGAGUGACGCCGCGCCGAAAAUUUACCGGGGCUAAGCAUGAUACCGAAACUGUGGAUGUGCAUUUAUGCACGUGGUAGGAGAGCGUUCUAGCGGCGGUGAAGCAUGACCGAGAGGACAUGUGGAGCUUCUAGAAGUGAGAAUGCCGGUAUGAGUAACGAAAGACAGGUGAGAAUCCUGUCCGCCGCAAGACUAAGGUUUCCUGGGGCAGGCUCGUCCGCCCAGGGUAAGUCGGGACCUAAGGCGAGGCCGAGAGGCGUAGUCGAUGGACAACAGGUUGAAAUUCCUGUACUGCACCGAAUCGUUAUGAGCGAUGGAGGGACGCAGGAGGCUAGCAGCGCGUGGUGCUGGAUACCACGUUCAAGCGUCAAGUCUGAGAGCGAGUCAAAUGCUUGCUCUCAU
This 1110-nucleotide ribosomal RNA is filed under the name Lactobacillus delbrueckii subsp. bulgaricus. Its description in RNAcentral is "partial 23S ribosomal RNA". It matches the Rfam family "Bacterial large subunit ribosomal RNA", at positions 438 to 1552 of the family's 2925-position model. The record is from RNAcentral. Lineage: Bacteria; Bacillati; Bacillota; Bacilli; Lactobacillales; Lactobacillaceae.